GACGAACGCUGGCGGCGUGCUUAACACAUGCAAGUCGAACGGAAAGGCCCUGCUUUUGUGGGGUGCUCGAGUGGCGAACGGGUGAGUAACACGUGAGUAACCUGCCCUUGACUUUGGGAUAACUUCAGGAAACUGGGGCUAAUACCGGAUAGGAGCUCCUGCUGCAUGGUGGGGGUUGGAAAGUUUCGGCGGUUGGGGAUGGACUCGCGGCUUAUCAGCUUGUUGGUGGGGUAGUGGCUGACCAAGGCGUGGACGGGUCGCCGGCCUGAGAGGGUGACCGGCCACAUGGGGACUGAGAGACGGCCCAGACUCCUACGGGAGGCAGCAGUGGGGAAUAUUGCACAAUGGGCGGAAGCCGGAUGCAGCAACGCCGCGUGCGGGAUGACGGCCUUCGGGUUGUAAACCGCUUUCGCCUGUGACGAAGCGUGAGUGACGGUAAUGGGUGAAGAAGCACCGGCUAACUACGUG
This 468-nucleotide ribosomal RNA is filed under the name uncultured bacterium. RNAcentral's name for it is "partial 16S ribosomal RNA". It matches the Rfam family "Bacterial small subunit ribosomal RNA", at positions 28 to 507 of the family's 1533-position model. The record is from RNAcentral.